Molecule: small nucleolar RNA, 88 nt
Filed under: Phascolarctos cinereus (koala)
Lineage: Eukaryota; Metazoa; Chordata; Mammalia; Diprotodontia; Phascolarctidae
Source: RNAcentral
GGCCUCCCAUGAUGCUCGCACUGGGCUGAGUCCCCUGACAAUAAACACUGUGCCCCCCAGGCUUUGACUCCUGGGGGCUGAGGGGUCC